RNAcentral lists this ribozyme (66 nucleotides) under Aedes aegypti (yellow fever mosquito). RNAcentral's name for it is "drz-agam-1 ribozyme". It matches the Rfam family "drz-agam-1 ribozyme". Lineage: Eukaryota; Metazoa; Arthropoda; Insecta; Diptera; Culicidae. The record is from Rfam by way of RNAcentral.
UGCCCAGACACUCCUAUCCCUGCCUCCUCGCGGUACUGGCCGGGGUACGAGUAAUCACAGGGAAGA